Paramormyrops kingsleyae is the source of this 717-nucleotide non-coding RNA. NCBI's taxonomy places the organism in Eukaryota, Metazoa, Chordata, Actinopteri, Osteoglossiformes, Mormyridae. The record is from RefSeq and is a predicted model, not a curated record.
GAAUAAUAUUUGUUUUUUAUGAAUAUAAUUUAAGUGAUAACUGUAAUCUGCAUUGUUACAGAAUGAACUCCAUUAGGAGAAAAAGAUGUCAUCCAUUGCAGGAUGCCAAGUUGCAUAUCAGAUUAAAGUCUGAUAAGGCUGUGAUUGAAGAGCGUUGUAUUAAUGUUUCUAAAGGAAGAGGAGUGUUCAGCACAGUGGUUAUUUACAAAGGAGACUUUGUAGUAGAAUAUAAAGGUGAACUGUUUUCGGGGAGAAAGAGAGUUUUGAACGAAAGAAAGGAUAUAGUGAGGCUGAAAGUGUUUUUCUCUAUGAUUUCCAAUGGAAAGGGAAGAACUGGUGCAUAGACGCAUCUCAAGAGGAUAAGUCUUUAGGGAGGCUUGUCAAUGAUGAGCACAGAAAUCCAAACUGUCGAAUGAAAGUCGUAGAUGUUGAAGGAAGUCCACAUCUCUGUCUCUUUGCCGUUAGAGACAUUUUGUCAGGAGAAGAGAUUAAUUAUAAUUACGGAGAUUCAGAUUGGCCUUGGAGAAGACAGGUAUUUAGGUUUCCUCUUUUUUGCUUACUUAGGCCUUUUUACAACAUUUCAUAAAUUACUGCUUGCAAGAGUUGCUCACAGUGUGAUAAUGGGUUGCAUAGGAACAAAUUAAUUUUACUGUUUUAUUCUAACUAGCUAUAAAUUAAAAUACAGUAUGCUGUUUUAAAGGUGGCUGUAUCAUCCCC